CCUACGGGAGGCUGCAGUGAGGAAUAUUGGUCAAUGGGCGCGAGCCUGAACCAGCCAAGUAGCGUGAAGGAUGACUGCCCUACGGGUUGUAAACUUCUUUUAUAAAGGAAUAAAGUGAGGCACGUGUGCCUUUUUGCAUGUACUUUAUGAAUAAGGAUCGGCUAACUCCGUGCCAGCAGCCGCGGUAAUACGGAGGAUCCGAGCGUUAUCCGGAUUUAUUGGGUUUAAUGGGAGCGUAGAUGGGUUGUUAAGUCAGUUGUGAAAGUUUGCGGCUCAACCGUAAAAUUGCAGUUGAUACUGGCAGACUUGAGUACAGUAGAGGUAGGCGGAAUUCGUGGUGUAGCGGUGAAAUGCUUAGAUAUCACGAAGAACUCCGAUUGCGAAGGCAGCUUACUAAACUGUCACUGACACUGAUGCUCGAAAGUGUGGGUAUCAAACAGGAUUAGAUACCCGAGUAGUC
This 460-nucleotide ribosomal RNA is filed under the name uncultured bacterium. RNAcentral describes it as "partial 16S ribosomal RNA". It matches the Rfam family "Bacterial small subunit ribosomal RNA", at positions 338 to 795 of the family's 1533-position model. The record is from RNAcentral.